AAGCGUCUUUUGCGUGGUUUGGUCAGCCUAAGUCCUAUUGAAUGAGGCAUCAUGGAGGGUGAUAAUCCCGUCCGGCUGAUCAUCGCGUUUUACGAUACGCUUUCAAAGAGUCAAGUUGUUUGGGAUUGCAGCUUAAAAUGGGAGGUAAAUUUCUCCUAAGGCUAAUAUUGGCGAGAGACCGAUAGCGAACAAGUACCGUGAGGGAAAGAUGAAAAGUACUUUGAAAAGAGAGUUAAAUAGCACGUGAAAUUGUUGAAAGGGAAACGAUUGAAGCCAGUCGUACCUGCGGACAAUCAGCCUUUCGGGUGUAUUAUGUGGAGUGUGGGGAGCUAAACACCUUCAUGCCUUGCAUAUUCGUACUCUGGGGUGUACUUGGACGUGCGGUAGGUUAACAUCAAUUUCGGACGUCAUAAAAUGGCUGGAGGAAUGUAGCUUCGGUCUCGUACUGAAGUGUUAUAGCCUUUGGUAGAUGUGAUGACCGGGAUUGAGGAUUGCAACGGAUACCCUUCGGGCUACCCGCCUGAUCUCUGAAAGUUGCUCUGGUGCCGAAAGCUUG
This 556-nucleotide ribosomal RNA is filed under the name uncultured Glomus. RNAcentral describes it as "eukaryotic LSU rRNA". It matches the Rfam family "Eukaryotic large subunit ribosomal RNA", at positions 156 to 636 of the family's 3401-position model. The record is from RNAcentral. Lineage: Eukaryota; Fungi; Glomeromycota; Glomeromycetes; Glomerales; Glomeraceae.